AAGAAAAAUUGGAGGUGAUUUUUUCUCGUUAGACGGAGAAAUGGCAAAAGUGGAAUCGAAAUAAGACUGUAAUAUCCUCGUGUAAAGCGUGAAGAAAGAGGGGAAGAAAAAUAGAGAUAGCAGCGCCCGUGAGUAUGAACUUGGUGAUUUUACCGCUUAGCUCAAGCUAUCUCUUUUCUAGCUUGGAAUCAGUCCUCAGAUAAUAGCGUCCAUUAUAAUGCAGGUACUCUGUCAUAUCGUUCCUUCUCUUGUAAAGUUGCGGAAAGAAGGUCUGGAUGGGCAUGAGAAGAUUAAGAGUUAUAUAUGGUGGAUGUCACUUGGCUUUACAAUUUUGGAAGCUCUAAUAGUUGCUUGCUACUCACUUCCAUAUUCAAUUUACGGUGCUAGUUAUAGGUAAUCCGCAUCGAAGAGUACUUUCCAAGCAUGAUUUCAUUCAUCUAACAAAGAGUUGAACUACCAAUGUUUUCCUCACAAGUUGAUGCCAUAAGUAGGGUUAAAUAGAUGAUUUUCCAUAUAUUUUUAUCCAAACAGAUGUCUUUAAAUAAUCUUAAGACAUAGCAGAGCCGAUGGCCUUCAUUACAUAGGAAAUUGCCAAUUUAAAGGGGCUGACUGCUAAUAUGAGAAAAAGAAAGAUAAAUGAGAGUUUUUUCUAUGCAUUUUUUUUUCGAUUUAUGUGUUUCAUUUAAUAUUUUCAAUAACAUGAGAGUUAUUCAGCAAAGCAACAUGAUAUGGCAACUUUUACAAGUGCUCCAAGCUAGGAAGAAUCACAUGGGCCUCUAUUUGACGGAGAACCACUUUUACAAGUGCUUCUAACAAGGCACAAGAGGUAAAAGAUCUGUAAAGCGAGUAGGAGGUAGCAGUACUGAUUUUUCUGAGUGAAAUUGGCUGUGUCCAUUUGAGUUUGUUGUUGUGCACUUUUAGAUUGACCCCCUGAAGUAAUAUUUAGAGUACUGAUGAUUCUGUUGUUAUUCAAGUAAUAUUUAUUUGACUUUUACAGCUUCCUUUUAAGCUUUUAUUCUCUCUGCCCCUCUUCUGUUGUUUUAAUUCUUUAGUAGUUUUUGCUUGCUGUUUCUUAUGAUUGGCUGGUUGUGUGAACUUUAUUAUUUAGGUAUGCCAUUUUAUUUUCUCAAUUCUUUCUGCCCGCAAGGCCACACUUUAUUCUUAUUGGAUAGGUUGGUGAAUGGUGAGAUCCAAGGAUGCCAAGUAAUUCUCACAUGUGAGAUGCCUAUACAUAUCAUUCAGAUUAAAUGAUCUAUUGUAAAAGGAAACUGCCUAGUUUUUUUAUUACUCUUUAAGUUUUUCCUUCUUUACCUUCGGUAUAGUUUCCCCCCUAUUAUGUGAUUUUAGCUAUUGAAGUUUUAUUUUCCUAUGAUGUGUUGUGUUAUUUGAAAAAUAGAACCCAAUAGCAUGAGUCAGUAUUCGAUGGUUUAAGAGGUAUAUGAAUAUAAUAGUAUUGUGCAUCCAUGGUCUCAUUUUCUUUCAUGGCAUAUUACUUUUUGUGAUGCUACUCCAGCUGAUGAAGUCCUUUUUUUGGUCAUGAGCAUAUGGGUGAUCGAAGUGGUGUGGUAAUGUUACUUCCAUCAGCCUGGCAUGAUUGACACCAUUGCAGAUGGAAUAUUCAUAAUUAUUGUCUUCCAACAUACCCUCUGGAUGAAAAGAAGAUAUGCAGUCCAAGUGAGAGUGUAUUGUGGUGUUAUAUUGAUAUAAUCAACUUGAUAUGCAGCAAAGUUAGAGGAGAAGAUGGAUUGAAAGAAACUGUCCACAUUGUUAGUGACUGAUUAUAGAUACUAUAUAUAUAUAUAUAUGUAUCAGACCCUACCUCUAGUUCCCUUAGCCAUAUAUGUACAUCUGUGAUAUUGUUCUACUGGUACAGUUUCAGCAUUGGU
This is a long non-coding RNA of Gastrolobium bilobum, 1886 nucleotides long. RefSeq lists it as uncharacterized. Lineage: Eukaryota; Viridiplantae; Streptophyta; Magnoliopsida; Fabales; Fabaceae. The transcript is spliced from 4 exons. The record is from RefSeq and is a predicted model, not a curated record.